RNAcentral lists this ribosomal RNA (460 nucleotides) under uncultured bacterium. RNAcentral's name for it is "partial 16S ribosomal RNA". It matches the Rfam family "Bacterial small subunit ribosomal RNA", at positions 338 to 795 of the family's 1533-position model. The record is from RNAcentral.
CCUACGGGAGGCAGCAGUGAGGAAUAUUGGUCAAUGGGCGCAAGCCUGAACCAGCCAAGUCGCGUGAGGGAUGACGGUCCUAUGGAUUGUAAACCUCUUUUGUCGGGGAGCAAGGCCCGCCACGUGUGGCGGGAAGGAGAGUACCCGAAGAAAAAGCAUCGGCUAACUCCGUGCCAGCAGCCGCGGUAAGACGGAGGUUGCGAGCGUUAUCCGGAUUUAUUGGGUUUAAAGGGUGCGUAGGCGGAAGGUUAAGUCAGCGGUAAAAUGUCGGUGCUCAACACCGGCCUGCCGUUGAAACUGGUCUUCUUGAGUGAGCGAGAAGUAUGCGGAAUGCGUGGUGUAGCGGUGAAAUGCAUAGAUAUCACGCAGAACUCCGAUUGCGAAGGCAGCAUACCGGCGCUCAACUGACGCUGAGGCACGAAAGCGUGGGGAUCGAACAGGAUUAGAUACCCCGGUAGUC